RNAcentral lists this RNase P RNA (353 nucleotides) under Gammaproteobacteria bacterium. RNAcentral's name for it is "RNase P RNA component class A". It matches the Rfam family "Bacterial RNase P class A". From Rfam's summary of the family: Ribonuclease P (RNase P) is a ubiquitous endoribonuclease, found in archaea, bacteria and eukarya as well as chloroplasts and mitochondria. Its best characterised activity is the generation of mature 5'-ends of tRNAs by cleaving the 5'-leader elements of precursor-tRNAs. Cellular RNase Ps are ribonucleoproteins. The record is from RNAcentral. Lineage: Bacteria; Pseudomonadati; Pseudomonadota; Gammaproteobacteria.
UAGGUCAAUCGGAUGGUUGCUUGUAUAAGUUAAUUAUAUAAGAGGAAAGUCCGAACUCCAUAGGAUAAAGUGCCUCUUGCUGAGGGAGGACCCUGUAAAGGGAUGGAAAGUGCCACAGAAAAUAAACCGCCUUUUAAAAAGGUAAGGGUGAAAAGGUGGUGUAAGAGACCACCAGUCUUUCUAGUAAUAGAUUGAGCUGGUAAACCCCACUUGGAGCAAAAUCAAGUAGCCUUGUGUUAUCCUAUCACAUAAGGGCGGGUAGAUUGCAUGAGUUUAAUCGUGAGGUUAAACCUAGAUAAAUAACCAUCAUUCAUUAAUGAAUACAGAAUUCGGCUUACAGAUUGACCUUUUUA